This 2524-nucleotide long non-coding RNA is filed under the name Brassica napus (rape). RNAcentral describes it as "long non-coding RNA (BNAP_LNC004693)". Lineage: Eukaryota; Viridiplantae; Streptophyta; Magnoliopsida; Brassicales; Brassicaceae. The record is from RNAcentral.
CCCCAUGAUGAGACAACCCUCCUUGUGUUGGAGGAAUCUGACUCAACAUUGCAGAUAGCUAGAGAAUGACCAAGACCAGCUGCUACUGAAACCGGAGACCCGGUUAUAUCAACAGGUGACAUUCCUAGGUCCUGCUUAUUCCUACGACCCAGCUGACCAUACACAUUGCUCCCGGAGCUCAAAAGAGUACCAUCACGACAAAGGACUAAAGAAUGAUCAGACCCGCACGCAAUAUCUUCCACCUUCACACCACGCAACUCUUCCACCAAACGAGGCUCCCAAGCUAUAGGCAUGUUGCUCUCCUUCCUCAUAGCUUCCGCAACUUUCUUCUCAGCUGCCUCCUCACCAUACCCACUUGCAAGUGAAUCAAGAGGAGACGCCUCAAGAGGAAGUCCAACAUUCCCUACUCUCCCAUCAGCUACAUAACCCCACCCAAACACUUUACCAUCAGCACUAAGAGCAAGCACAUGCCCCCAACCUAAUGACACCUGUCAAAAACCGAACCUAAAUCAAAAAGAUUCCAUUUUUAAAACCCAAAACGUUGUUAAUUUCCUUUUUUUUUAAUCCAAACCUUAACGAUGUGUUCUUGACAUAAAGCUUCAACCUUUGAAGGAACCAGAGCUUCAACGAUACCUUUCCCAAGCCCAAGCUGUCCUCUUUUCGAUCUUCCCCAAACCCACAAAGACCCAUCAUCUCCAACCGCGGUUGAAACAACUCCAGACGCAAACGCUCUUCGGACUCUCACAUUCUCUAGACCUUCCACUCUCUUCGCUAGACUUUUCGAGUCUCUACCGAUUCGGCCGAGCUGGCCUUCCUCGUUGCGACCCCAAGCCCAAAUCUCGCCGUUGGAGGUGACUGCGAGGGAGUGGUAGUGUCCGGCGGAUAUGAACGAGACGUCGGAAGGCAUAUCGGAAACUUGAGUUGGCUCGUAAGCGUCGAGGCCCAUUCCCGUGCCUGGUAGCCCCAAAGCGCCGUGGCUUCCAUCGCCGAAGCUCAUGACUUUGCUACUUCUCUCGCCAACAAUGGUCGUGAACCAUCGUCGUCUCCCGAAAUUGGAAAGUUUCGCGAUCGACCAUAGUCGCACCAUUUCACCUUUUGAGAAAUUGAAGCCAAAGGAGAAAGAAACAAAAGUAAUUUUGAAAUUUGAUUUAGUUAACAAAAAGAAAUAGUAUCUGUUCCAUAGUUGUGGGCCUUUUAUGUUCUCCAAAAGCCCAGCCCACUAAAUGUUAAUGUCUAACUUGGAUGAAUUUUGUGUGACGGCCGUAUAAGUGAAACAGUAAAUUUGAAUUUUGCUUCACUAUUUAGAAAACAAUAAUAUAACUUUGUGGUAUGGGCCCAUUGUGGCUCACUUGGAUGAGUUUAGUAUUAGUGUUUUUGCAAUCACAUCAUCUCCUCUCUUUUCAUAUAUACUCAAAUCUUUAUAUUAGUAGUACAAACGAGUGACAGAAUCAUCUUGAGUCUAACUGAGAAGUGAGAACUGUAUAACUCGAAUGAGGCAUGUAAUGAGUAAAGCUUGAUGAAGCAAAGGUUUUGGAAGUGAAGAACAUAGUUCCCGAGGUUGUCUCUAACGUUGUUGCGCAUCAAAUAGAGAGAAUCUUUGAUGAGAAAACAAGAAAAUGACUGAGAUUUCUCACAUUUUUGCUAGAGAUAAAGUAAGGAAACAGGGAAGAAUGAUUGUAAAUUUUCGUUCAUGGGAUUAUUCAAGAAGCGAAUGUAUUUCAAGAAGAGCUUAUUCUCGAACUUGCAAAAGCAGUGAGUUAGAUAUGGUUUGUGUAUUACUGGAGAUGAGAAGCGAAAGCUGACAUGACUUCCUUGUAGACUGGCUUCUUGAAAUCCACUGCCUGAAGUAAUCGGAAACAGAAGAAGAUGAGUGAAAAAGUAGUAGUAGAAUCUAAAAGCUGAAACUCUAACACAUAUAAAAGAAAAGAAAAAAACUGGACUCACAAGUUCAACGAGCUGAUCAGGAGACACCCAUGACCACUCCCCAAACUCGGGUUGCUCAGUUCCGUCACCAAGAAGAUUAAUUUCUUCGUCUUUCCCAGUAAAUUUCAGAAGAAACCUGAGGAUUUCCACACAGUAUUUGAUCAGUUCUAAACUCAAAAUCAAAAUGACAUGAGUCUGCGAUUAAAUACAGCCCCAAACCCAAGCUUCUCCUUUCUCUGUGACACACAAGGAAUGCACACGCCCUGCUGAUACAGAAGCUGGAGUUUCCUCAUCCAAACCCUCCACUUCUCUUGGCAGCUCUUCUGGCUUUCCCCUACCAAGCUGCUGGCUCCGGUUCCAACCCCAUGAUGAGACAACCCUCCUUGUGUUGGAGGAAUCUGACUCAACAUUGCAGAUAGCUAGAGAAUGACCAAGACCAGCUGCUACUGAAACCGGAGACCCGGUUAUAUCAACAGGUGACAUUCCUAGGUCCUGCUUAUUCCUACGACCCAGCUGACCAUACACAUUGCUCCCGGAGCUCAAAAGAGUACCAUCACGACAAAGGACUAAAGAAUGAUCAGACCCGCACGCAAUAUCUUCC